CGUACCUUUUGUAUAAUGGGUCAGCGACUUAUAUUCUGUAGCAAGGUUAACCGAAUAGGGGAGCCGAAGGGAAACCGAGUCUUAACUGGGCGUUAAGUUGCAGGGUAUAGACCCGAAACCCGGUGAUCUAGCCAUGGGCAGGUUGAAGGUUGGGUAACACUAACUGGAGGACCGAACCGACUAAUGUUGAAAAAUUAGCGGAUGACUUGUGGCUGGGGGUGAAAGGCCAAUCAAACCGGGAGAUAGCUGGUUCUCCCCGAAAGCUAUUUAGGUAGCGCCUCGUGAAUUCAUCUCCGGGGGUAGAGCACUGUUUCGGCAAGGGGGUCAUCCCGACUUACCAACCCGAUGCAAACUGCGAAUACCGGAGAAUGUUAUCACGGGAGACACACGGCGGGUGCUAACGUCCGUCGUGAAGAGGGAAACAACCCAGACCGCCAGCUAAGGUCCCAAAGUCAUGGUUAAGUGGGAAACGAUGUGGGAAGGCCCAGACAGCCAGGAUGUUGGCUUAGAAGCAGCCAUCAUUUAAAGAAAGCGUAAUAGCUCACUGGUCGAGUCGGCCUGCGCGGAAGAUGUAACGGGGCUAAACCAUGCACCGAAGCUGCGGCAGCGACACUAUGUGUUGUUGGGUAGGGGAGCGUUCUGUAAGCCUGUGAAGGUGUACUGUGAGGUAUGCUGGAGGUAUCAGAAGUGCGAAUGCUGACAUAAGUAACGAUAAAGCGGGUGAAAAGCCCGCUCGCCGGAAGACCAAGGGUUCCUGUCCAACGUUAAUCGGGGCAGGGUGAGUCGACCCCUAAGGCGAGGCCGAAAGGCGUAGUCGAUGGGAAACAGGUUAAUAUUCCUGUACUUGGUGUUACUGCGAAGGGGGGACGGAGAAGGCUAUGUUGGCCGGGCGACGGUUGUCCCGGUUUAAGCGUGUAGGCUGGUUUUCCAGGCAAAUCCGGAAAAUCAAGGCUGAGGCGUGAUGACGAGGCACUACGGUGCUGAAGCAACAAAUGCCCUGCUUCCAGGAAAAG
RNAcentral lists this ribosomal RNA (1013 nucleotides) under Escherichia coli. RNAcentral describes it as "partial 23S ribosomal RNA". It matches the Rfam family "Bacterial large subunit ribosomal RNA", at positions 600 to 1617 of the family's 2925-position model. The record is from RNAcentral. Lineage: Bacteria; Pseudomonadati; Pseudomonadota; Gammaproteobacteria; Enterobacterales; Enterobacteriaceae.